AUACGGAGGGGGCUAGCGUUGUUCGGAAUUACUGGGCGUAAAGGGCGCGUAGGCGGAUCGUCAAGUCAGAGGUGAAAGCCCUGGGCUCAACCUGGGAACUGCCUUUGAAACUAACGGUCUAGAGUCCGAGAGAGGAUGGCGGAAUUCCCAGUGUAGAGGUGAAAUUCGUAGAUAUUGGGAAGAACACCAGUGGCGAAGGCGGCCAUCUGGCUCGGUACUGACGCUGAGGCGCGAAAGCGUGGGGAGCAAACAGGAUUAGAUACCCCAGUAGUCC
This 274-nucleotide ribosomal RNA is filed under the name uncultured bacterium. RNAcentral's name for it is "partial 16S ribosomal RNA". It matches the Rfam family "Bacterial small subunit ribosomal RNA", at positions 523 to 796 of the family's 1533-position model. The record is from RNAcentral.